This 330-nucleotide long non-coding RNA is filed under the name Bos taurus (domestic cattle). RNAcentral's name for it is "long non-coding RNA NONBTAT017694". Lineage: Eukaryota; Metazoa; Chordata; Mammalia; Artiodactyla; Bovidae. The record is from RNAcentral.
AAUUGCAACAUGUAAUCUUUUAUUGCCUCAUACAGUGCAGCUUUAGAAAUAGCCCACAUACCUUAUCAAACUGUGGCUCUGAUCUGUUCCCACAGAACAGGAGCCAUGAUGCUUUUACUCGAGAAAGGUAAAACAAGGUGUAUAACACCUUACUUUUGGUUAUCUGGGAAUGUCAACACCUCAUUUGUUACUUGGAAAUGUUAUUCCAGUUUUUUUUUCUGGAUGCUGGGAUUAUAAAAUUAUGUGUUUAAAAAAAUUUUGCUGUGUCUUUUAAAUCAGAGUUUUGAAAAAUUUAGAGCAAUGUGGCAUUUAUAACACUAUUUGGAGCUU